RNAcentral lists this long non-coding RNA (1726 nucleotides) under Solanum tuberosum (potato). RNAcentral's name for it is "long non-coding RNA (STUB_LNC002477)". Lineage: Eukaryota; Viridiplantae; Streptophyta; Magnoliopsida; Solanales; Solanaceae. The record is from RNAcentral.
CAGAAGUAAAUAGGAUCUGGAUGUUCCACUUGCCAUCUCUUAACUUCCUCACUCACUCAGUUUUAUUUAUUGCUUAAUUAGAGAGUUUGUCUUUGCGUGUGAGCUACUUUGAGAGAAAAUGAUGUAAUGUAAUGUCUAGCUUUGAAUUUGCAGGAACGAUAGUGUAUGUAUUGGCUUUAUUGCUAUAGUCAUUUGCUAGUUGGCAACUUAAUUUGUUGAGACCUCAAGAUUUUAGUUGGUGUUUGGUUGAAAAUUGGAAAUGGAAAAAAGAAGUAGCUGAAAUUGAAGUUAAAAAGAUACAAUUUGUAACUUAAAAGUCUGUGUUUAUACUUGGAAAAAUAUUUUGAUGUUUAAAGACAUAUAAAAACACAUGCUUAAAUCAGACUUUACUUCAAAGAAUUUUGGGCAGUGAACAGCAAAUAUAGAAGGGAAAACGAAAAUUCAACCCUUUUAUAUAUGCGGGUGGCUCAAUGCCCUUUAAAUGAGGCAUGUCUUAGGCUUCCAAAAUCAAAAGGGCCUAAUUUUUUAGUAAUAAUAAAUUAUUAUAAGCCUUUUUUAACAAAAAAAAUAUACUAUAUUUUUUAAUUUAUUUAUCGUAUUUUUAGUUUGUUUCGAAACGCCUGACAAUUUUGGGCAAUCAAUCUUUCAAAGAAGAGUCCUGUAAGCCACAAGUCUUGUUUGUUUUAGGGUGCGUUUGGUAGAAAGGAAAAUGUUUUCAGGGAAGUAAGUGAAAAAGUCUUGUGUCUCCGUACGUAAGCAAAAAUUAAUUAUGCAAGUUGGAGUAGGAAUAGGGGUAGGGUUGGUGGGGAUGGGGCGAAGAUGAGGUCUAUCGUACACAAUUGACAUGGAAUGUCACUGAUGGAACCUGCUUUCCUUCCUUUUCAUUAGGAAAGUUAUUUUCCUCAUUCCCUAAGAAACUUAUUUGUUAAAGAAAAUGCUUUUCAAAAUUUUUAACCGAACAGGUCCGACUCUUUUCAUGGUCUUACUUUCUGCAUCCAUUCCUCAGUAUGGUUAAACUUAUGUUGAUGCAGGCAUGGUGACCAGGCGGCACAGAUGACACGUGAAGGAUUCGAUGCUGCAGGGCAUGCUUUAGGGACUGCGUGGGCUGUGUUUAAGAUAAGAAAAGCUCUGAAUCCAAAGGGUGCUAUCAAGCCUACUACAGUUGCAAAAGCUGCUGCUCAAGCUAGCCUUGCUAAGCUGAAGAGCAAGCAGAAGUAAAUAGGAUCUGGAUGUUCCACUUGCCAUCUCUUAACUUCCUCACUCACUCAGUUUUAUUUAUUGCUUAAUUAGAGAGUUUGUCUUUGCGUGUGAGCUACUUUGAGAGAAAAUGAUGUAAUGUAAUGUCUAGCUUUGAAUUUGCAGGAACGAUAGUGUAUGUAUUGGCUUUAUUGCUAUAGUCAUUUGCUAGUUGGCAACUUAAUUUGUUGAGACCUCAAGAUUUUAGUUGGUGUUUGGUUGAAAAUUGGAAAUGGAAAAAAGAAGUAGCUGAAAUUGAAGUUAAAAAGAUACAAUUUGUAACUUAAAAGUCUGUGUUUAUACUUGGAAAAAUAUUUUGAUGUUUAAAGACAUAUAAAAACACAUGCUUAAAUCAGACUUUACUUCAAAGAAUUUUGGGCAGUGAACAGCAAAUAUAGAAGGGAAAACGAAAAUUCAACCCUUUUAUAUAUGCGGGUGGCUCAAUGCCCUUUAAAUGAGGCAUGUCUUAGGCUUCCAAAAUCAAAAGGGC